RNAcentral lists this ribosomal RNA (496 nucleotides) under uncultured organism. RNAcentral's name for it is "SSU rRNA". It matches the Rfam family "Bacterial small subunit ribosomal RNA", at positions 505 to 999 of the family's 1533-position model. The record is from RNAcentral.
GUGCCAGCAGCCGCGGUAAUACGUAGGGUGCGAGCGUUGUCCGGAAUUACUGGGCGUAAAGAGCUCGUAGGCGGUUCGUCACGUCGUCUGUGAAAUCCUAGGGCUUAACCCUGGACGUGCAGGCGAUACGGGCUGACUUGAGUACUACAGGGGAGACUGGAAUUUCUGGUGUAGCGGUGGAAUGCACAGAUAUCAGGAAGAACACCGGUGGCGAAGGCGGGUCUCUGGGCAGUAACUGACGCUGAGGAGCGAAAGCGUGGGGAGCGAACAGGAUUAGAUACCCUGGUAGUCCACGCCGUAAACGGUGAGUACUAGGUGUGGGUUCCUUCCUUGGGAUCCGUGCCGUAGCUAACGCAUUAAGUACCCCGCCUGGGGAGUACGGCCGCAAGGCUAAAACUCAAAGGAAUUGACGGGGGCCCGCACAAGCGGCGGAGCAUGUGGAUUAAUUCGAUGCAACGCGAAGAACCUUACCUGGGUUUGACAUGCACGGACGCCG